CCUCCUACCCGUCAGACACUAUGGCCAGUGAUCAAGCAUAUUUGUAUCUUCCCAGGUACCCAACAGAACACCUCCCAUAUAACAGGCCCUCAGAAAAUGUUUGCUGAACGGAGAGCUCAGUAAUACUCUUUUUCUCUGCUAUUUCAAUUGAUCAAAAAAGUUCAAGAAAAAUUUUGCCAUUGUGAUAAUGAAGUAUAAUCCCAUUGGAUGCAGGUAAAUUUUCACACAGCACUUUAGUUUCUCUCAGACACAUCUGUGGUUCUGUCCCCUCCAUGGCCUACUCAGAUCCUCCCUCCAACUGAAGGGCACACACCGCAUACCCUAUCCGACACACAUGUUCCAGCCAACAUCCCUGCCUUCCUUCAAAAUCUGUCCAAAUCCUUCCCUGCUGCUGAGCCCACUAGAACAAUCCUGAGCAUCCAGCAAGUAUCCUUCUUAAUCAGUGUGUUUGUUUCCUAGGACUACAGCAACAGAGUACCACAAAAUGAAUGGAUUAAGACGACAGAGAAUGUUGUUGCCAAGUUCUAGAGACUAAAAGUUCAAAGUCAAGGUCACGUUCCCUCUGAAGUCUCCAGGACAGAAACCUUCCUCCUCUCUUCCAAUUUCUGGAGCCGUCAGCAUCCUUACUAUUUUGGAUUUGUAGAUGCACCAUUCCAAUUUCUGCCUAAGCCUCCUGUGGCCUGAUCCCCUCAAUAGCUUUGUCUGGUGCCUCCUAAUUUCAAUAUGAUUUCACCUAGACUUGAUUAUGUCUAUAAUGACCCAAUGUUCAAAUUCAUGUCCACAGGUUCUGAGUGGACCUCAAUUUGUGGAGGACACUAUUCCAACCCAGUUCAAGAAGAGAUCAGUAUGAAUAGAGAGACCUAUACCACAGGGUAUUAUGUUAAAGGUUUCAAGCCACUCAUAACUGAAGCCUCUGGGCACCCUAACAAAAAUAGCUAAAAGAAAAAAAAGAAAUUAUAUUAAGCAAAGGAAAUAUGACUAUAAAACCCCAA
RNAcentral lists this long non-coding RNA (992 nucleotides) under Fukomys damarensis (Damara mole-rat). Its description in RNAcentral is "lncRNA (ENSFDAG00000030304.1)". Lineage: Eukaryota; Metazoa; Chordata; Mammalia; Rodentia; Bathyergidae. The record is from RNAcentral.